ACUCCUACGGGAGGCAGCAGUAGGGAAUAUUGCGCAAUGGGGGAAACCCUGACGCAGCAAUGCCGCGUGAGUGAGGAAGGUUUUCGGAUUGUAAAACUCUGUCCUAGGGGAAGAAUGAUAUUAUGGUUAAUACCCAUAGUAAGUGACGGUACCCUAGAAGAAAGCACCGGCUAACUCCGUGCCAGCAGCCGCGGUAAUACGGAGGGUGCAAGCGUUGUUCGGAUUUAUUGGGCGUAAAGCGCGCGCAGGCGGACUUAUAAGCCAGAUGUGAAAUCUCGGGGCUCAACCCCGAAACUGCGUCUGGAACUGUGAGUCUAGAAUGUCAUAGGGGGCAGGGGAAUUUCACGUGUAGGGGUAAAAUCCGUAGAGAUGUGAAGGAACACCAGAGGCGAAGGCGCCUGCCUGGAUGAAUAUUGACGCUGAGGCGCGAAAGCGUGGGGAGCAAACAGGAUUAGAUACCCUGGUAGGCUCUGC
Molecule: ribosomal RNA, 474 nt
Filed under: uncultured bacterium
Lineage: Bacteria
Description: bacterial SSU rRNA
Rfam family: Bacterial small subunit ribosomal RNA
Source: RNAcentral